UCGUGCACUACUGAUGAUAAAACCAUGAUCCAUCCAAAAAAAGAUUCAAGUAUAUUGGAAGUUGCUGAUCCAGAACAAGAACAUCAGAAGAAAGCUCACAGAGUAUAUGAAUCCAAUUCUGCAUUGAUAGAGAGGAACUGGACUUUAAGCAAUUCACAGUCAACAUCAUAUAUGGAUCUAAAACAAUUCUCGUUAAAUGGGAAAACUCAAGGUGGGAGAAAAAGUCCUUCCCCAGACUUUAGUGACCUUGCAAAACCUGAUAUGUUAUUGCAGAAGAAUAUAGGCUAAUUAAAAUUUUCAUCAUGCACAUAAAGCUACAAAGGGUGACACAUCAUAAAUCAUUGAGGGGACAAGAACAACCAAACAGACACCCAUGAGUUCAUCAUUAUUCCUUUUUCAAUGACUAUUUAACUCAUGAUUAUGAUUAGGUAUAAUGACAUAUCAAACAAUAGAUAAUAUCAAAGGUUGUAACAUAAGGAACUGUCAAAACAUACAAACAUUUUAAUGGAAUUACAUGAAAACAGAUAUUCUAACUGCUGUGUGUCUUUUUUGUUUUGGCAAGGUCCACUGUUGUGCAAUAUGAACAUGGGCAACCCAUCUUAAAAGGAGACUGAGUUACACUCCAACUAAAUAUAUAAAAAACUUACCAGUUCAGAUUCACUACUCAUGAAGAAUUGUGAGAAUUUAAUUGAUCCAGACAAUUACUGAUCACGUAUUCGUCGUGCACUACUAAUGAUGAAACCAUGAUCCAUCCAAAAAAAGAUUCAAGUAUAUAGGAAGUUGCAGAUCCAGAACAAGAACAUCAGAAGAAAGCUCACAGAGUAUAUGAAUCCAAUUCUGCAUUGAUAGAGAGGAACUGGACUUUAAGCAAUUCACAGUCAACAUCAUAUAUGGAUCUAAAACAACUCUCGUUAAAUGGGAAAACUGAAAGUGGGCGACAGAGUCUCUUCCCCAGACUUUAGUGACCUUGCAAAAC
Molecule: long non-coding RNA, 976 nt
Filed under: Amborella trichopoda
Lineage: Eukaryota; Viridiplantae; Streptophyta; Magnoliopsida; Amborellales; Amborellaceae
Description: long non-coding RNA (ATRI_LNC002093)
Source: RNAcentral